AGUGGAGCCUGCGGCUUAAUUUGACUCAACACGGGAAACCUCACCAGGCCCAGACACCGGAAGGAUUGACAGAUUGAGAGCUCUUUCUUGAUUCGGUGGGUGGUGGUGCAUGGCCGUUCUUAGUUGGUGGAGCGAUUUGUCUGGUUAAUUCCGAUAACGAACGAGACUCUAGCCUGCUAACUAGGCGUAUUUCGACAUCCCAAAGGCCCGCCGGUUCGAGGCUUCGGUCUCUUGCCGCGCGCGGUUUUUACUGUCGGCGUACAAACAAUUCUUCUUAGAGGGACAGGCGGCAUUUAGCCGCACGAGAUUGAGCAAUAACAGGUCUGUGAUGCCCUUAGAUGUUCUGGGCCG
This 351-nucleotide ribosomal RNA is filed under the name Exocentrus guttulatus subconjunctus. Its description in RNAcentral is "SSU rRNA". It matches the Rfam family "Eukaryotic small subunit ribosomal RNA", at positions 1175 to 1489 of the family's 1831-position model. Lineage: Eukaryota; Metazoa; Arthropoda; Insecta; Coleoptera; Cerambycidae. The record is from RNAcentral.